GAAGGGCUACUUUGUUGAUCUGCCAUUUUUCUCGGCUGCUUAAGUUUUUAAAAAGGAAGUAGAGAAACAGUCUGAGAUGUCCUUCACUUCUGUAUAUGUUUCACAUUUUGGUGAAAAAAAGGGACUGAAAAAGGCCCCAGGUCCACAUCUACCCCGCAUACCUACCCCAGACAUCCUUCAGCAGACGUUUCUCUUCAGCUGCAACCAUUUACACCUGAAUUGGUUGAAAAUUGUGACAAGGAUGAAUAUCGGUUUUUCUGCCCUCAUGCGGGUCAGUUUAUGUGCAAAUUGACCAACAUUGUGUUUGAGAUGGAAAGUGAAGGGGAAGUGAAGUACAAAAUAAUGGACUGGGACAGCUGGCUCCUAAACAAAUUACCCCAAAAGGAACCUGCAGGGCCUCUGUACAAUAUUGAUGGCCCAGAAGAUUCAAUCCGUCGUCUUCACUUCCCACAUUGUGAGAUCGGUAAAGGCAAAGCAAAACUGACUGUAGCACAUGUGACUAAUGAUGAUGUGGAGAUCAUUCA
Tachysurus vachellii is the source of this 524-nucleotide long non-coding RNA. RefSeq lists it as uncharacterized. The transcript is spliced from 6 exons. The record is from RefSeq and is a predicted model, not a curated record. Lineage: Eukaryota; Metazoa; Chordata; Actinopteri; Siluriformes; Bagridae.